AAUUGAGCCAGGAAUCCUCUACAACCAUGACAACGAAUGGCAGUAAGAUUGGUCUAUCCCAGCCUGCCACAUAUGGUUUAAUAGGGUUCCUCUCUGUUGCAGUUAUUGGUAUCCUGUUGGGUUGUAUCAUCGUGACAGUAAUGAUGCGGAAGUAUAGGAGAUCAGCAAAAGAAGCUAGUAGUCAGCAACAAGGGAAGUAUCCUCAGACAGCCAAUCAGAACUGUUACAACGGACCACAACAGGAU
This is a long non-coding RNA of Strongylocentrotus purpuratus (purple sea urchin), 245 nucleotides long. RefSeq lists it as uncharacterized. Lineage: Eukaryota; Metazoa; Echinodermata; Echinoidea; Camarodonta; Strongylocentrotidae. The transcript has 3 exons. The record is from RefSeq and is a predicted model, not a curated record.